Long non-coding RNA from Bufo gargarizans (Asiatic toad), 557 nucleotides. RefSeq lists it as uncharacterized. The record is from RefSeq and is a predicted model, not a curated record. NCBI's taxonomy places the organism in Eukaryota, Metazoa, Chordata, Amphibia, Anura, Bufonidae. The transcript is spliced from 3 exons.
GCUUUCUAGCCCCAUUUAAUCACUCCUCCUGAGGACGCAGCGCGGCGAAACGUACGUCGGGGAGAUCCAGCGCCUAUUUUUAACCCUCAUAGCAACCGGUUUAUUUUGGAAAUGCCCCAUGAACAUGCAAACAUCGCUUUCCUCCUGCCAUCCUUUCUCUGCACAUCCUGUUUGCAUUGGUCUUCUCAGCAGCAAAAGCAAACUGUACUUAAGAACAGCUGGUAAAGCUGAUGACGUGCGCAGUUCUAUCAUGGUCGAUGGCUGAAGGUUGCGUGAAAUGAGCAUGGACUUGCGUAGUCACCCCAGCUACAAUACCCAAACUCCACAUCUCCUUUCGGUGCCCAGCGCCACCUUCUGAAUUGAAAUCGCCGCCCUCCCUUUCAUUAGAGCCGCCUACCUCAGUUCAUCACCGCCUCUCUAAUGUCAGCACCGUCUCUGAAAUCGUCCGCUCUCCUCAGGUUAUACUUAGUGCGCACGUGCGGGAUCUGGCUGAGGAGAGCGGACGUUAGAGAGGCAGCGAUUGGUAAAAAAUAAAUAAAAGGUUAUGGUGUCAAAAC